ACUCCUNCNGNAGGCAGCANCAGGGAAUAUUGCACAAUGGGNGCAAGCCUGAUGCAGCGACGCCGCGUGAGGGAUGAAGGCUUUCCAGUUGUAAACCUCUUUCAGUGGGGAAGAAGCGCAAGUGACGGUACCCACACAAGAAGNCCCGGCCAACUAC
Molecule: ribosomal RNA, 157 nt
Filed under: uncultured Actinomycetes bacterium
Lineage: Bacteria; Bacillati; Actinomycetota; Actinomycetes
Description: uncultured actinobacterium partial 16S ribosomal RNA
Rfam family: Bacterial small subunit ribosomal RNA
Source: RNAcentral